CAAGCCGGCAAGAAAGUCACCUGCUCGCACGAGGCCCAUGGAGUCGCCCAUAUGCAUGGAGGAAAAGAUUUUCCUUACUGAAUACCAAAAAAUAAUUUACAGUUCAUUUUUCAAGUUUUAACCGAACAACAGAAAAUAUGAUUACUUUAAAAUGACUUUCUAAAGAACAUUUUGCAAAAACGCUAUAUUUUUCUUGAAACGAACGAAACCUUAAAGGUAUAGAGCAAACAUGGAAUCAUGGAGCACAAGUUAUUGCCUCCCCAAGGACUCUCUCUCUCUCUCUCUCUCUCUCUCUCUCUCUUGGCUCAAGCAAAUUAUUGGCUAGCAUUUGUUUUCUUCCAUUAAUUUUUACUAUUCUUUUCUGAUUUUUUGUCAAGCUACUCAAGCCAAGAAAAAUACAUAGAUUUUUCUUUCUUUAUGUAAAUUAUGAGAUCAUACAAGUCUAUUAGAAUACAAUUUCAAAGUUGGGAGAUUGAGAAGGGAAGAAGUUGUGUUUUUUUGUCUUUUCUGAGUUCGUUGGCGCAAUUGAAAUCAAAAGGGUGGGGGGAAUUUAUUUCUUCUUCUUCGUCAAUAAGAAUAGUUUCAUUGGGCACUCUGAAGUUAUGACCAACUUGAGAUAUUUUGUUUUAUGUUUUCUGUGAUUCGUUCAUUUAUUUCUUUCAUUUCCAUCGAGAGAAGAAAUUGAAAGAGAGAAGCGAGAGCAGAGCAGAGCAGAUUAGUGCAAAGUAAUAGCAAAAAUCAGAUGUGGUGGUCUCAAGUAGACAAUGUCUUUUUCACCGAGAGGGAUCCUUCUUGAUAUCCUACUGGACCAGACGAGCAAGUCAUCCAGGGUUUUCGAUAAAAUAUGUGGUGCAAAUUGCACCGUCACUCUUUCAUAUAAUUCUCUCUCUCUCUCUCUCUCUCUCUCUCUCUCUCUCUCUCUUGGCUUGAGGAAAUUACUGGCUAGCAUUUGUUUUCUUCCAUUAAUUUUUGCUAUUCUUUUCUGAUUUUUUGUCGAGCUAUUAUGUUUUAUGUGCUUUGUUCAUUUAUUUCUUUCAUUUCCAUUGAGAGAAGAAAUUGAAAGAGAGUAGCGAGAGCAUAGCAAAGGAGUGUAGAGUAAUUGCAAAAGUCAGAAGUAGCGGCCUCAAGUAGCCAAUAUCUUUUUCAUUGAGGGGUCCUUCCUGAUAUCCUACUAGACCAAACAAGCAAGUCAUCCAAGGUCUUCGACAAAAUAUGUGGUGUAGAUUGCACCGCCACCCUUUCAAUUAAUUAUGUGUUUAUCUCUCUCUCUCUCUCUCUCUCUCUCUCUCUCUCUCUCUCUCUCUCAGCUCAAGGAAAUUAUUGGCUAGCGUUCAUUUUCUUCCAUUCAUUUUUGCUAUCCUUUUCUAAUUUUUUGUCGAGCUAUUCAAGCCAAGGGAAAUACAUAUGAUUUUUCUUUCUUUAUGUAAAUUGUGAGAUCAUACAAGUCUAUUUGAAUACAAUUUCUGAGUUAGGAGAUCAAGAAGGGAAGAAGCUGUGUUUUUUUUUCUUUUAUGAGUUCAUUGGCGUGAUUGAAAUAAAAAUAAAAAAAGGUGGGGGGAGUUUAUUUCUUCUUCUUCAUCAGUAAGAAUAGUUUCAUUUGGUACUCUAAAGUUGAGACCAACUUGAGAUUUUAUGUUUUAUGUUUUCUGUGCUUCGUUCAUUUAUUUCUUUCAUUUCCAUUGAGAGAAGAAAUUGAAAUAGAGCAGCGGGAGCAGAGCAAAGUAGUACAGAGUAAUAGCAAAAGUCAGAUGUGGCGACCUCUAGUAGCCAAUAUCUUUUUCACUGAGGGGGAUCUUUCUUGAUAUCCUAUGGACCGGACAAGCAAGUCAUCCAAAGUCCUCGGCAAAAUACGUGGUGCAAAUUGCACCAUCACUCUUUCGUUUAAUUAAGUGUUUAGAGUUGAUUUUAUGAGCGAACCGAACCAUCAAAAAUCCAUUGUUUUACUUGUUACCCAAAACGUAAGGAAAUCCAACUCGAAAUUUUCAGUUUGAACGGUUUUUUUUUUUUUUUUUUUUAAUAUCCCUAGAUCUCGGCUUCUUCUUUUCUUCUAUGAUAUAUAUAAUCUAUAUUUUGGAAAAAAAAGAAGAAAAAAAUGACGUUCUUUUGUUAUAUAAGAUCAAAUUAAUAGUGUUUUGGGAGUGCUUUGUGAACGUGGCCCGAGGUUGAACGGGAUGAGAUUGACGUGAGAGCACUUGGCGGGGUUCACUCUUUCAGCUCGUCUCCGACGCAUUUAGCUGUUGACUUGUUCAAAAGCCAGAGAGACCCAGAGUCACGGGUGUUGCAUCCCAAGUAAUUAAGUGCGACGUUGUUGUUCACACAACGUUAUGAGUAAUGAUUCUUGUAGUGCUUAUAUAUACAUAGACAUGCAAAAAUAGGAAAGAGCUCGAAAUAACUCAAAGCAAUGGCAAAACUGCUUUCUCCCUCCUUCUCCUCGUCCUUCUCCUCCUCCUCUCUUAUCAGAAUGUUGUGCUUUCUCUUGAUUUUCAUGACCCUUCACUUGCUCGCACGAGCUACAGGGAGAGAAGUAAGUCGUCUCCCCGUAUGCAGCGGUGCUGCCAAUCCAGAUUUCCCACAUACGGGCCCAGGAUGUAGACAUCCUUGACUUGAAUGACGAUGGAAGCUCACAGCCAAGUUAUAAAGAAUAAAAUGUCCUGGCAAGGCUUAGAGACGCAUAAUAGCGGAUCAUAUGAAUCGCAAACCUCUUUAUCUCUAGUUAUCCAUCAAUGUAUAAGAAAGCCUCGGUCUAAAUUAAGAUUAUGGAGAACAUUUCGAUGCUUGGAAGUAGCGUGUAACUGCAAGAAUAUAAAGAUCUCCGCAUUAAUCUAUUCGCCGAUUUUUCUGCUUUGAAGUUCUAGAACAGAUUCUUUUGAAUCCUUUGAUGAGUUGACAUGCUUAUUUCUCGAUCUCAA
Long non-coding RNA from Eucalyptus grandis, 2909 nucleotides. RefSeq lists it as uncharacterized. The record is from RefSeq and is a predicted model, not a curated record. The transcript is spliced from 4 exons. NCBI's taxonomy places the organism in Eukaryota, Viridiplantae, Streptophyta, Magnoliopsida, Myrtales, Myrtaceae.